Molecule: ribosomal RNA, 297 nt
Filed under: uncultured fungus
Lineage: Eukaryota; Fungi
Description: partial 18S ribosomal RNA
Rfam family: Eukaryotic small subunit ribosomal RNA
Source: RNAcentral
GCUUGUCGGUGAACUGCGAAUGGCUCAUUAUAUCAGUGAUCACUUAUUUGAUGAUGGCUGCCACGUGGAUACCUGUGGAAAAUCCAGAGCUAAUACAUGCCAACACGCCCGACUCGCGAGGGAAGGGCGGUAUUUAUUAGGUAAGAGCCAGCCCUGGCAACAGGAGCGAUGGUGAUUCAUGGUAACUGCACGAAUCGCACGGCCUUGCGCCGGCGAUGGAUCAUUCAGAUUUCUGCCCUAUCAACUGUUGAUGGUAGGAUCGGGGCCUACCAUGGUCGCAACGGGAAACCGGGGAAU